RNAcentral lists this transfer RNA (84 nucleotides) under Methylococcaceae bacterium. RNAcentral describes it as "tRNA-Leu". It matches the Rfam family "tRNA". From Rfam's summary of the family: Transfer RNA (tRNA) molecules are approximately 80 nucleotides in length. Lineage: Bacteria; Pseudomonadati; Pseudomonadota; Gammaproteobacteria; Methylococcales; Methylococcaceae. The record is from RNAcentral. RNAcentral also lists the same sequence under 4 other names.
GCGAAUGUGGCGGAACUGGUAGACGCGCUGGAUUUAGGUUCCAGUAGGUUUCCUGUGAGAGUUCGAGUCUCUCCAUUCGCACCA